RNAcentral lists this non-coding RNA (28 nucleotides) under Homo sapiens (human). Lineage: Eukaryota; Metazoa; Chordata; Mammalia; Primates; Hominidae. The record is from RNAcentral.
UAGUGUGAAGCCACUUGCCUUGGAGCCU